CUCCAUAGUUUAUUUUUAUCCUUGAGUUGGGAACGACAACCCCUUCUUCUACACAACUGAUGGAUGUUUUCUGAGCGCCCAUAUCGACAACACAAGCAGCAGACAUUCCAGCACCAAAUGAAGUGCACAGCGAUUCUUGGACUAUGGCAGCCUUUCCAAAAUGCAAAUCAAAAAAUAAAAUGUCUAAUAUUUUCUCCACGUACACUCUAUCGUAGAGGUCUGGGACAAUGAAAAUCACAGAAUACUGUGAGAGUUGGGAUACAGGGAUUUGCAAAAGAGAGGUAAUGCU
Molecule: non-coding RNA, 289 nt
Organism: Schizosaccharomyces pombe (fission yeast)
Lineage: Eukaryota; Fungi; Ascomycota; Schizosaccharomycetes; Schizosaccharomycetales; Schizosaccharomycetaceae
Source: the annotation of a GenBank genome assembly